CGCCCUUGGCUCGGCGGCCGCUGCAGAGUUUGAUCCUGGCUCAGAGCGAACGCUGGCGGCAGGCCUAACACGUGCAAGUCGAACGCCGACCCUUCGGGGUUAGUGGCGGCCGGGUGAGUAACACGUGGGAACGUGCCUUUAGGUUCGGAAUAGCUCCUGGAAACGGGUGGUAAUGCCGAAUGUGCCCUUCGGGGGAAAGAUUUAUCGCCUUUAGAGCGGCCCGCGUCUGAUUAGCUUGUUGGUGGGGUAAUGGCCCACCAAGGCUACGAUCAGUAGCUGGUCUGAGAGGAUGACCAGCCACAUUGGGACUGAGACACGGCCCAAACUCCUACGGGAGGCAGCAGUGGGGAAUCUUGCGCAAUGGGCGAAAGCUGACGCAGCCAUGCCGCGUGUAUGAUGAAGGUCUUAGGAUUGUAAAAUACUUUCACCGGUGAAGAUAAUGACUGUAGCCGGAGAAGAAGCCCCGGCUAACUUCGUGCCAGCAGCCGCGGUAAUACGAAGGGGGCUAGCCUUGCUCGGAAUUACUGGGCGUAAAGGGAGCGUAGGCGGACAUUUAAGUCAGAGGUGAAAUCCGGAGCUUAACUUCGGACUGCCUUUGAUACUGGGUGUCUUGAGUGUGAGACAGUAUGUCGACUCCAGUGUAGAGGUGAAUUCGUAGAUAUCCGGAACACAGUGGCGAGGCACAUACUGCUCAUACUGACGCUGAGCUCAACUGGGACAACAGUAAUACCUGGUAUCCACGCGUAACGAUAUUCUAGUGUCGACUC
This 767-nucleotide ribosomal RNA is filed under the name uncultured alpha proteobacterium rcr_12. Its description in RNAcentral is "bacterial SSU rRNA". It matches the Rfam family "Bacterial small subunit ribosomal RNA", at positions 1 to 826 of the family's 1533-position model. The record is from RNAcentral. Lineage: Bacteria; Pseudomonadati; Pseudomonadota; Alphaproteobacteria.